Molecule: long non-coding RNA, 1258 nt
Filed under: Mus musculus (house mouse)
Lineage: Eukaryota; Metazoa; Chordata; Mammalia; Rodentia; Muridae
Description: long non-coding RNA chr10:127466277-127467535
Source: RNAcentral
AGAUACACACAUACGUAUCAAUAAAAAUAAAUCUUAAAAGGAAGUGGAAAAAGGAGAAAGACAUCCCCCACUGUUAGCAAGGAUAGAGAAUUUACAUUUUUAAAAAAUUUUUAAGAUUUAUUUUGUGUGUGUAAGUGUCUAUGCACCACAUCCGGGCAGUGCCCACAGAGGCUAAAAGAGGGCAUUGAAUUCUCUGGAAGACAUUACAGACACUUGUGAGCUGCCAUGAGGUCCUCGGAAUCAAACUCAGGUGUUGUGGGAGAGCAUCCAGUGUUCUUAACCACUGAGCCAUCUCUCCAUCCCCCUCUGACUCUUCUUUUUAGACAGUGCCACCUUGAAGUCCGUCUGAAAACCAGAGGCUGAGUGGGCUUUGCACUGUUGAUAGUACCAAAGAUAUGUACAAUUGUCACAUUUAAGAAAACACAAAAUUCUGCUAGAUAGUAUAUACUGUGUAGUCAUAAUUAUCCCCGAGAACAGUGCCUUUCUUAGAUCUGCUCAGCUCUGUCUUACCCGGUUCAACUUUCUCAGUGUAUUGACCUGAUGAACUGGUUUUUAUCAGAAGAAACCGAAGGUAGAGAUGGAGUAGUGAGCCCCAGUUUCUGUGGCUGUAAGUGGCGAGGCCGAGGCUGAUUCUGUCCACUGUUCUUUUAUUGUCCCACACCAGCUCCUUUCAGACAGCCCUUCUUCCUCUCAGUUCUAUUUGAAGCCUAAUUCAGAUUCACUGCUAAGAGUGAUGUUUCCUGGGAGCAUCAGGCUACACCAAACUGUGCAGAUAAUAGCUUGAAGAAUUGGGUAAGCAGGUGCAGCCCUCACCUCUCCGAAUAUUUUUUUCAAAGCCUGAAAAAUCAGACUGUGUUUUUGAUUAAAGACCUAGGUGAAGACCAGUGAGAUGGCUCAGCAGGCAAAUGCAGCUGCCACCAACCCUGGUGACCUGAGUUCAGCCCCAGGAGUCAGGUGGUGGAGGAGAGAACUAGCCCCUGGGGGUAUCCUCUGACCUUCACACACAGAUAUAAAAAAUGACUAGCAAUUACAAAUAGAAGUGGGACUAGAACAAUGCCCAGCAGUUAAAAGCACAUAGUGGGGGCUGGUGAGAUGGCUCAGUGGGUAAGAGCACCCGACUGCUCUUCCGAAGGUCCGAAGUUCAAAUCCCAGCAACCACAUGGUGGCUCACAACCAUCCGUAACGAGAUCUGACGCCCUCUUCUGGAGUGUCUGAGGACAGCUACAGUGUACUUACAUAUAAUAAAUAAAUAAAUCUU